GGCUCGUUGGUCUAGGGGUAUGAUUCUCGCUUGGGUGUGAGACGUCCCGGGUUCGAAUCCUGGACGAGCCU
Danio rerio (zebrafish) is the source of this 71-nucleotide non-coding RNA. The record is from Rfam. NCBI's taxonomy places the organism in Eukaryota, Metazoa, Chordata, Actinopteri, Cypriniformes, Danionidae.